Sipha flava (yellow sugarcane aphid) is the source of this 381-nucleotide long non-coding RNA. RefSeq lists it as uncharacterized. The record is from RefSeq and is a predicted model, not a curated record. The transcript has 4 exons. NCBI's taxonomy places the organism in Eukaryota, Metazoa, Arthropoda, Insecta, Hemiptera, Aphididae.
AAAUUUUACAACACUGGAACUUUGAACUGCACAUUAAAUUUCGUACAGCAUAUUAUUUAAGGUGUUGUUAUAACAUACCCAGCAACACCCGUGUGCACGCCUAUGCAUAUACCUAAACAACGCCUUGCUGCCCUCGUCGGCCUGACCAAUUCAAUAUGCUAUUUGGUCACUGAACACUGUGAAAAACAAGAACUUACUUCAUUGGUCAAAAUAUAUUAGUAGGUGCUUCGUAAAUAUGAUUUCAAACUUCGAAGUGUUGAAGAGGAUAUCGAAACGAAAAUGAAGUCGCUGGUUGCAGAUGUGACCGACAAAGGUGCAUCAAGAAAGGUGCAAAAAGAGCAGUUGCUCCAGUUGGCAAAACAUUGAAAGGCAACAAAAAAA